Non-coding RNA from Gossypium hirsutum (cotton), 107 nucleotides. Lineage: Eukaryota; Viridiplantae; Streptophyta; Magnoliopsida; Malvales; Malvaceae. The record is from Rfam.
AUCCCAUGAUGAGGGCACCUACAGAGUAACUCCUUGAAUCUUUCCCAUGCCUUAUAUAAGGAAUCAUCAUCCAAUUGGUGAAAAGUGGUGAUCUCAUUCCGCAACUU